This 426-nucleotide ribosomal RNA is filed under the name uncultured bacterium. RNAcentral's name for it is "bacterial SSU rRNA". It matches the Rfam family "Bacterial small subunit ribosomal RNA", at positions 355 to 771 of the family's 1533-position model. The record is from RNAcentral.
UGGGGAAUUGUUCGCAAUGGGCGCAAGCCUGACGACGCAACGCCGCGUGGAGGAUGAAGAUCUUCGGGUCGUAAACUCCUUUCGAUCGGGACGAAUUGUCCGCGGGUCAAUACCCCGCGGGCGUGACGGUACCGAGAGAAGAAGCCCCGGCUAACUCCGUGCCAGCAGCCGCGGUAAUACGGGGGGAGCAAGCGUUGUUCGGAUUUACUGGGCGUAAAGGGCGCGUAGGCGGUCAGCACAAGUCAGUUGUGAAAUCUCCGAGCUUAACUCGGAAAGGUCAACUGAUACUGUGCGGCUAGAGUGCAGAAGGGGCAACUGGAAUUCUCGGUGUAGCGGUGAAAUGCGUAGAUAUCGAGAGGAACACCUGCGGCGAAGGCGGGUUACUGGGCUGACACUGACGCUGAGGCGCGAAAGCUAGGGGAGCGA